GACGGUUGUCCCGGUUUAAGCGUGUAGGCUGGUUUUCCAGGCAAAUCCGGAAAAUCAAGGCUGAGGCGUGAUGACGAGGCACUACGGUGCUGAAGCAACAAAUGCCCUGCUUCCAGGAAAAGCCUCUAAGCAUCAGGUAACAUCAAAUCGUACCCCAAACCGACACAGGUGGUCAGGUAGAGAAUACCAAGGCGCUUGAGAGAACUCGGGUGAAGGAACUAGGCAAAAUGGUGCCGUAACUUCGGGAGAAGGCACGCUGAUAUGUAGGUGAGGUCCCUCGCGGAUGGAGCUGAAAUCAGUCGAAGAUACCAGCUGGCUGCAACUGUUUAUUAAAAACACAGCACUGUGCAAACACGAAAGUGGACGUAUACGGUGUGACGCCUGCCCGGUGCCGGAAGGUUAAUUGAUGGGGUUAGCGCAAGCGAAGCUCUUGAUCGAAGCCCCGGUAAACGGCGGCCGUAACUAUAACGGUCCUAAGGUAGCGAAAUUCCUUGUCGGGUAAGUUCCGACCUGCACGAAUGGCGUAAUGAUGGCCAGGCUGUCUCCACCCGAGACUCAGUGAAAUUGAACUCGCUGUGAAGAUGCAGUGUACCCGCGGCAAGACGGAAAGACCCCGUGAACCUUUACUAUAGCUUGACACUGAACAUUGAGCCUUGAUGUGUAGGAUAGGUGGGAGGCUUAGAAGUGUGGACGCCAGUCUGCAUGGAGCCGACCUUGAAAUACCACCCUUUAAUGUUUGAUGUUCUAACGUUGACCCGUAAUCCGGGUUGCGGACAGUGUCUGGUGGGUAGUUUGACUGGGGCGGUCUCCUCCUAAAGAGUAACGGAGGAGCACGAAGGUUGGCUAAUCCUGGUCGGACAUCAGGAGGUUAGUGCAAUGGCAUAAGCCAGCUUGACUGCGAGCGUGACGGCGCGAGCAGGUGCGAAAGCAGGUCAUAGUGAUCCGGUGGUUCUGAAUGGAAGGGCCAUCGCUCAACGGAUAAAAGGUACUCCGGGGAUAACAGGCUGAUACCGCCCAAGAGUUCAUAUCGACGGCGGUGUUUGGCACCUCGAUGUCGGCUCAUCACAUCCUGGGGCUGAAGUAGGUCCCAAGGGUAUGGCUGUUCGCCAUUUAAAGUGGUACGCGAGCUGGGUUUAGAACGUCGUGAGACAGUUCGGUCCCUAUCUGCCGUGGGCGCUGGAGAACUGAGGGGGGCUGCUCCUAGUACGAGAGGACCGGAGUGGACGCAUCACUGGUGUUCGGGUUGUCAUGCCAAUGGCACUGCCCGGUAGCUAAAUGCGGAAGAGAUAAGUGCUGAAAGCAUCUAAGCACGAAACUUGCCCCGAGAUGAGUUCUCCCUGACCCUUUAAGGGUCCUGAAGGAACGUUGAAGACGACGACGUUGAUAGGCCGGGUGUGUAAGCGCAGCGAUGCGUUGAGCUAACCGGUACUAAUGAACCGUGAGGCUUAACCUUACAACGCCGAAGCUGUU
RNAcentral lists this ribosomal RNA (1470 nucleotides) under Escherichia coli. Its description in RNAcentral is "partial 23S ribosomal RNA". It matches the Rfam family "Bacterial large subunit ribosomal RNA", at positions 1497 to 2925 of the family's 2925-position model. Lineage: Bacteria; Pseudomonadati; Pseudomonadota; Gammaproteobacteria; Enterobacterales; Enterobacteriaceae. The record is from RNAcentral.